Molecule: ribosomal RNA, 254 nt
Filed under: uncultured bacterium
Lineage: Bacteria
Description: partial 16S ribosomal RNA
Rfam family: Bacterial small subunit ribosomal RNA
Source: RNAcentral
UACGUAGGGUGCGAGCGUUACUCGGAAUUACUGGGCGUAAAGCGUGCGCAGGCGGUCUGUUAAGACCGAUGUGAAAUCCCCGGGCUUAACCUGGGAACUGCAUUGGUGACUGGCAGGCUUUGAGUGUGGCAGAGGGAGGUAGAAUUCCACGUGUAGCAGUGAAAUGCGUAGAGAUGUGGAGGAAUACCGAUGGCGAAGGCAGCCCCCUGGGAUAACACUGACGCUCAUGCACGAAAGCGUGGGGAGCAAACAGG